This 1031-nucleotide long non-coding RNA is filed under the name Bos indicus x Bos taurus (hybrid cattle). RNAcentral's name for it is "lncRNA (ENSBIXG00005019181.1)". Lineage: Eukaryota; Metazoa; Chordata; Mammalia; Artiodactyla; Bovidae. The record is from RNAcentral.
AACAACGCAAAUCAGCCAUGAGUAUACGUAUGUCCCCUCACUCGACCCUCCCCUCACACUCCUCUAGGUUAAUAAAGACUGUAUUUUAAGGGAUGUGCAUCCCCUCUCAAAUUCACAAAGAAGGUGAGAAAAAGAACAGACAGACAAGAAAAAGAAAUAUUGGAGAAGUGUAGAAGGUGUGUGACCAAUCACCAGAAGAAGUGAAAUCUGAGGAGUCAUUAAAAUUAUGGUAAUGUUAUUAAUGAGAAUGAUAUGCAUACAUUUGUAUAGAAUUGUAACAUGUCUAGUUUCUUUUUUUUUUUUACAUUAUUAUCUCAUUAGACCUUCAGGAUAACCCUGUAGGAUAGACAGAACACAAGUUUCAUGUGAAGAGAUGGAUUUAGUCGAACAAUAUGUCUUUUUGACCUCUGUGAACAUAGCAAAUUUCAUUGUAAAUGAUUUAAGGAAAUAUGCCCAUCUGAAAAAUUUAUUAGUUGGCAUUUUGCUUUAAGUUGUCAGACUGUACCACUAAGGAGCUUAAUGCCCAUUAGUGGUUCACCAGUUAGGGUCAGAAUCAGCCAAUGUUACUCUGGAGCAAAUGGAAAAACAAAAUGAGUUUCUGUGAACUGGGGGUUUUGCUCCAUGUGGGCUUGAGCAUGGUCUUGAAGCGUUUAUUAAGCUUAAAAUCUGGCCAAAGCAACAGGUGCUAAGCAUUUGAUUCUAAACAUCUGUCUUUCUCUCUUCUUUAUAGUAUAUCUACAUGUUGAAACAGACACAGAGCUGGAAGAUGGGAAGCGGAUCAGAAAUGCCCUAGGUUGGUUGCAGUUGUACCUAUCAACCAUUACCCAGCUCUUACUCCAGGACUCCGAACACUUUUUGUGGAACAGACUUUGCUGUGUCCGGUUCCUGGUGCCACCAUCCUCUGCACAGCAUCCUGUACCUGUAGAUUCUGCAGAAGCUCCUGCUUCAUUUCCUGCUGGAAUGGAAUGAUUCAGGAUCCCCCACUGUCCAUCAUCCCUGAGGGGGAGCAGUACUGAAGAAGAGCUUCUCAU